AGGUGAUCUGCCUGCCUCAGCCUCCCAAAGCGCUAGAAUUACAGGCAUGAGUCACCGCGCCUGGCCAGAUCUGGUUUUUAUUAACAUGCUGGAUAGUCUUUCACUGACUGAAAAUAUUCCAUGUUUUAUUCAUCCAUUCUGUGAGUACUGGACAUUUGAGUUUAUUCCAAUAUUUUGCUGUUAAAAUGGUGCACAUGAGGACUCUUCAUGCGUAUGUCUCUAGUGUAACCUUGAACCUCUCCCCAGAGGGGUAGAAUCAUUCAGUCACACGGGCGUCACAUCUUCAGUUAGUGUGGACAUUUUGAGUUACUGGACUGGUCUCUCUCUCUCUUUCUCUGUCUCUGUAUGUGUGUAUGUAUUGUAUAUGUUUUUACGUUAUAUUUUUUCAAGAACUAUUUCAAAAUGAGGAUUCCUCUGUAUCACUGGUGGUUUUAAAAACAUCGUUGUUGCAUAUGGAAUAUCAUUCCAUUAUAUGAUUGCAGCAAACCAUUAACUGCACGGUCCAGCGUUGCUCGGGAGCGUCACUGAGCUGUCCUGUAUCAUGGACCCCGUGACUACCUUUACAUUCCCGGAAAUCUGUGGCAUCUGGGGAUUCAGGCUGACCAGGUUUGCCUCUUACAAACUGGGUGACCUUAACAAGUUCCCUUACUUCUAGGAGCCUCCAAAUUUCCACCUGGACCAGGGGACCAUAAUAAUAUAGUCAGCUCCUAGGGUUGGGAGGAUUACCAAAUGCAGGCGUAUCAACAGCCAUCAACACUGUUGAUGGUAAUUAGGGUUAUGACUGAGAACUGUUGAGGAUUAAGUUUGCGCUUCCGGACUAGUUUUCUCCUGGAAGCCUUGGAGCUGCAGGCAUUCUGUUCAGGGAUGUACACAGAGUCUGGUCCAAAGCUUUUAAACUACGAAGUGCUCUGUCAUCUCCUGGAGGGUCUCAUCAAAAUGGAGACUGGGAUCAGUAGGUCUGGGUGGGGCCGGAGAUCCUGCGUUUUGAGAUCCUCUACCUCCAGGCACGGCUCACCUGACGCUGCUGGUCUGAGUAUCAAGGCUUUGCAGCAUCUUCCCCAGGGCCCUGUCUCUUCCCACAGGCAGCACAUGCGUGGGGAGUCAGUUCGUUUUUGCAAUUAAGGAUAAGUGGGAAAAAGACCUUCUAGCUUAAUAAGGUAUGUCGUCUUGCCCUGAGAUACUAAUAAAUAUUUUCCCUUACUCUGGACCCAGCAUUAUGGUCUGAAUAUUUGUGUCCUCCCCAAAUUGCUAUGUUGAAACCUAACCCCCAGUGUGAUGGUGUUAAGAGGUGGGGCCUUUGGAAGGUGAGUGGGUCUUGAGGUAGAGGGCUUUACAAGGUACCCCAGAGACCUCGCCGCUUCUGUCUCUCUACCAUGUGAGGGUACAGUGAGAAGUUGAAAGCCUGCAACUCUGAGGAGGGCUCUUCCCGGAACCCGGCCAUGCUGGCACCCAGUCUCUUCAGCUGUGAGAAAUAAAAGUCUAUUGUUUAUGAGCCACCCCGCUCACGGCAUUUUGUUGCAGCAGGCCAGGCUGAGUCAGACACCCAGAAAACAGUUUCAUAUUAUCUAAUGACCUGAAGGCUUUUUGACCACUUAUUAAAAACAAAGGAGUAAAUCUCUCUUAGGAAUCUUGGAUAACAGAUGAAGACUGUGCUAACUGGACAUGACAACAUCAUAUAAAAAGCAAGACAUUCGGUCAGCUAGAGAAUCAACCUCUUGUCUAUGCAUGCUGGAGGCGGGGAAGGGCAAAUCACCCGAAGAUCCAGGUGGCCGGAAGACCCUGGGCAGAGCUCUGGCCCCGCCCUAGUGGCCGUCCUCCCACCUGCCCUGCUCCUGCUGGACCCUGUCCCUGAGCUGUUUCUCUUGGUUGUCAACAGCGCACACACAGAGCAGAGGACAGUGCUGCCUGGGGAUGGGCACGGCCCCUAUGCCACCUGCAGGUUCCCUUCCUCUGAGGCUCCCCACCCGUGGGUGGUCUCCCCUCCUCCUGAUUCACUAAGCCUUUGCCUGAUCACCUCCUAACACUGCCAGCAGCUCCCAAGCUGUAGACCCACAAUUCCCCCAAAGUUGGCUGUGGUACUGCUGGACUCCUUAGCCCUAGGAAUCCAUCCCUCACUGUCCAUGGCUGGCCCUUCACUACCCCCACCACGCUCUCCAGAGCUCCACAGUUCUUCCAGCCUGCCAGCCCUCCAACCUCUGCCUUCUGAGCUGCCCCCAACGCCUGGACCCCGGCCGACUAUGGUUUCUUAUUCAAGAAGUUCCUAUUCUUGUCCUAUGCCCAGAUGGCCCUCAAUCAAUGUUUGCCUGGGGAGUGAGCCAGAUGAGCACUAAUGACUCUGAAAUCUGUAUUGUUAUAUCUGACCUCUUUGGCUCUGUGAAAUUGAAGAAUUCAAACUUAAAGCUGUUGGACUUUUAAAUUGUUCUGAGCCUUGAGAGGAAUGUGGCUAUGCAGCCCGAGUCACACGGCUGCAACUUCUACCUUUUUUCCCCUUUAAAUAAUAAAGACCAAGACCAAGUAGCCCUCAAGUCACUGCCCCUCCUCAAGCAGCAGUCUGUAACCAAUCAAUUCCCGCACCCUGUAUGUUUGUCUUGUAUGGAAAAUGUUGUUCCUGCUAAGAUUUCCCUGCCUCUGUUUAGGUAAGUGAAACCUUAACUUCACUUUGGGACACUGACCUCAUUCGUUCGAAGUUGGGGUCUCCCGGGUGGCCAUCUGCAAGCUUUGUGUUCAAAUAAGCUAUAGUUAAUCAUAUUUUCUGAACCUCAUUAUUUGAGGUUGACAGCUUAUGUGCUAGUUGGCAUCGCUGGGAUGUGCCACGAGCAAGCAAGCCAGCCCCAACGCAUCCAAAAGUGAUAUCAUUGUCUUCUUCCUUAAUCGGUAUGAGUCCAGGGUCCCCAUCGCCCAACUGCCCACCCUGCAAAUCUGGAAUUGUAACUGCCUCUCUCCUGACUGAGUAAGAAUUGCCCCUUUUCAAUCACAUUCCAUGUCCCACCAAUUUAUUUCCACUCAGUUCCUUUCCCUAGGACUCAGCAAUGGGGUCCAGGCAAGAAUAGUCUGGUGGAUGCUGGUUCCCAGGUGCUUGGUCCAUGGGGCCAAGACCAGGGCGGGAGUUUCUCUGUUUCAGCCACAGGGCCUCAAGGAAGAGCCGGUACCAGAUGCGCACCCUGUUCCAAGCCUCUUUGUGCUGCCGUGUAGGGAGAGGGUGGAGGCUAAAGUGACUCUGUCUCAGGAGCGGAUCUGCCAUGUUGACUUCUGAUGAACUCUAAUUCUGAGAACGCCUCUAAGAUUUCCAGUUUACCUAUCGUUCCUUGUAUUAGCGCAUGUGUACUUACCGUAAACGCUGCCCUUAGGCCCAAACGACCUUAAUGUUAUCAUGGAAGUUACUGGCUAUGACGUACACAGCAUUCUUGUCUUUUCCUGGAAGGUCACCGUGAUAGUGCCUGUAAGCCCUUUUCCUUUACUACAGAAGCCGAGGCCUGGGGGGUGGUGACAGCGUGGAGAUCCACCUGUGUUGCGGCUGCCCAAGACCACGCUUCUGUCCAUAAGUUCCCCAGUAAAUCCUCCUCUCCCGGCAAACUGGAUUUGCCUGUCUGUACUUCGGUUUCCGGGCUCCUUCUGCAUUUGGCGUCAGUCUGUGUAUAUGGCCCUUUCUCGAAACAUUCCCCAUCCUCACUGGAAGCUACCCCCUUUCUCCUAUUUUAUAUAAUUUCUUUUGGCUGAAAUAAGUAAGCCACAAACAAUGGGAAAUCUGUUUUUUGUUUUUUUUUUCCCCUGAAAUACACUGAAAUCCCUUGGUGGAUGCACACUGGGUAGAUAGAGGAGCAACAUCCUAUAGUCAGUAUUUGGGGCAGCAUUUCACCAUGUUCAGGGAACACACUUCCUCCAGUGGUGGGUCUGCCUCCCCAGCACGGUUAUGGAGUCACAGCUCCUCAGAGCAGCAAAGAUCGCGAGGGAGUCAAGGGAUGGAGCAGCCCCAGCUCCCUGCUGGGCUGGAGGAGGGUGGCGAGUUCUGCCCUUACGGAGACGCUAUGCACAACUGAUGAGGAAUUCUCAGCAUCAUUUGGGGCUCGUCCGGAAUGUGACUCAAGCAUACCCUUUCGAAAGCCUGGUGUUAUGGACUGCCUGUGCGUCCCCCCAAAAUGUAGACAGGCUGGGAUUUCUGAGCCCUCUGCAGGCUCAGGGGGAAGGGCAGAUUCUGGAGAAGAAGGCCCCAGCAGCAGGAGCAAUCCCAGCCGCAGAGCCAGACUCCUGUAGUCAGGCCUGGCCCACGUCCGGCCGAUCAGCGCAUGGCUGGAGGACCGCACAUCUGGCUGUGACGUUGGCUGCCUUCCUUUCGUUUCUACUUCAGCAACCCAGCCCCAGGAACAGCUGCAUGGGAGGUAAAUGGAAACUUUGUGGACAGAGUCCAGUGGUCACCCAGGGCUGGCGACGCUUCUGCCUUUAAGGUGUCCUGGGCACCCGAGCAGCUGUGGGCUACGGCUUAUACUUUCCCUGACUGCGAUGGCUUUAUGGGAUGUGAGACACAGGCCAUUCACCUUUUACCCCAGUCAUGCAGCUAAUCACCAGAGCAUUUCACCGCCUCAGCCGUGGCUGCAAAACACUGAGCCGAUUAUGGAAAGGGCAGAACACGAAUGCUCUUGUGGAAUUUUCAGUAGCGAUAAGCAUUUGCUGAGAUUGAGUGUGAUGUGAACUCAGCGCCCUCUCCAUCUUACUGUGUGACCUGAAGCCCAAUGACCCGGUCCCUGGGUGGACCCUGUCCCUGGUGGACCCUGCCCGUCGGUGGCCCCUUCCAGGCAGGCCAUUGGUCUUCGUGCACUCGGUCAGCUGUGGCUGGUACCUGUCCUCCUCAGGCCCCCUCUCAGCACACAAACCUGGUGUCAGUGGCUCCAAGGCCCAGGAGGAGCUCCAAAAGCCACACACUGAGAAGAUGUGUCAUGGCCAAGUCCCACAGGGAGGCUGUGGUGGACUCCGGGCUGCCAACAGGGCCUGGCCCUGCGUUCUGCCAGGGGCUCUCGGCAUGCCCCAUGGGACCCCCACGGAUGACCGUAGGACCUGACGGCCCCUCCAGGUUUCCAGAAGGAAGAAAACAGGAUCUUGGGUGUUGGCGGUGGGUCCCAGGAAUCUCCUCUCAGUGAAGCCAUCUCGUUCUUCCAAGGGCUCAGGUCCAAAGCCCGGAGCCUUUUGGCCUUCCUCUCCCCUCACUCCCCAUCAGCAUAUACAGCCAGGACUGGGCCUCUGCUCCCUCCUGCCUUCCCCACUCACCCAUGGGCCAAGCGUCCAGCUUCUCGCCUGGAUGACCUUGGGGCCUCCCUCCUGUCAGAUUACACCUGCUACACCCGAGUCACGUCAAGUCCCACCUGUGCUCAUGGUCCCCAGCCCUCCUUUUUGCCUUUUCCUGAUUGUUUUUCUCCAUUGCACUUGUUCGUAGCUGGCCUGGCUUAUAUUUCCUGGUUCAUUUGCAUUUUGAGUCUACCCCGCUGCACGGUGAAUAUGUGAGCAGUGUUUUGUUUGUUUUGUCAACAGCUAUAUCCUCAGUGCCUACAGGGUCCCCAGCAUGGAGCUCUGCUGAACAUGUUGAUGUAGCGACACAGCCAGAGCUCCAGGCAGAGACCCCGUGGGUGGUGGUGUGCGCUCGGUGGCACCUGUGAGGUCACCUACGAUGGCAGCCAUGCAGUCCAGACCGUGGGAGCUCCACGGCCCAGCCGUACACAGCGAGUAAUGGCAACCCUAGCUUCUUACCACCCGCCACGCACCUUUUAGAUUCAAGCAUGGGCUCGGGGUCCUUGGCCUCAAUAUUCUUAUCUAUUAAAUGGGAUAAUGACA
Macaca mulatta (Rhesus monkey) is the source of this 5820-nucleotide non-coding RNA. The record is from RefSeq and is a predicted model, not a curated record. Lineage: Eukaryota; Metazoa; Chordata; Mammalia; Primates; Cercopithecidae.